CGGACCGGCGCACGGGUGAGUAACGCGUAUGCAACUUGCCUAUCAGGAGGGGGAUAACCCGGCGAAAGUCGGACUAAUACCGCAUGAAGCAGGGGCCCCGCAUGGGGAUAUUUGCUAAAGAUUCAUCGCUGAUAGAUAGGCAUGCGUUCCAUUAGGCAGUUGGCGGGGUAACGGCCCACCAAACCGACGAUGGAUAGGGGUUCUGAGAGGAAGGUCCCCCACAUUGGUACUGAGACACGGACCAAACUCCUACGGGAGGCAGCAG
RNAcentral lists this ribosomal RNA (265 nucleotides) under uncultured bacterium. RNAcentral describes it as "partial 16S ribosomal RNA". It matches the Rfam family "Bacterial small subunit ribosomal RNA", at positions 91 to 354 of the family's 1533-position model. The record is from RNAcentral.